RNAcentral lists this unclassified non-coding RNA (220 nucleotides) under plant metagenome. RNAcentral describes it as "partial contains small subunit ribosomal RNA, internal transcribed spacer 1, and 5.8S ribosomal RNA". The record is from RNAcentral.
UUUCCGUAGGUGAACCUGCGGAAGGAUCAUUACAGAGUUCAUGCCCUCACGGGUAGAUCUCCCACCCUUGAACAUUUAUACCUUAGUUGCUUUGGCAGGCCGUGGAAACACCAUGGGCUGCGGCUUAUGCGUGCCUGCCAGAUGAAACAAACUCUGUUUUUAGUGAUGUCUGAGUACUAUAUAAUAGUUAAAACUUUCAACAACGGAUCUCUUGGUUCUG